RNAcentral lists this ribosomal RNA (195 nucleotides) under Conticribra weissflogii. Its description in RNAcentral is "partial Bacterial large subunit ribosomal RNA". It matches the Rfam family "Bacterial large subunit ribosomal RNA", at positions 889 to 1081 of the family's 2925-position model. The record is from RNAcentral. Lineage: Eukaryota; Bacillariophyta; Thalassiosirophyceae; Thalassiosirales; Thalassiosiraceae.
UUUCUUGCCGGAGGUAGUGCGACUGGAUGGCUAAUGGGCCCUACAAGGUUACUGACGUCAGCCAAACUCCGAAUGCCGGUAAGUGAGAGCGUAGCAGUGAGACUGUGGGGGAUAAGCUUCAUAGUCGAGAGGGAAACAGCCCAGAACGCCAACUAAGGCCCCUAAGCGUGUGCUAAGUGGAAAAGGAUGUGGAGU